CGGUGAAGCCAAGCUUGCUUGGUGGAUCAGUGGCGAACGGGUGAGUAACACGUGAGCAACCUGCCCUGGACUCUGGGAUAAGCGCUGGAAACGGCGUCUAAUACUGGAUAUGAGACGUGAUCGCAUGGUCGUGUUUGGAAAGAUUUUUCGGUCUGGGAUGGGCUCGCGGCCUAUCAGCUUGUUGGUGAGGUAAUGGCUCACCAAGGCGUCGACGGGUAGCCGGCCUGAGAGGGUGACCGGCCACACUGGGACUGAGACACGGCCCAGACUCCUACGGGAGGCAGCAGUGGGGAAUAUUGCACAAUGGGCGAAAGCCUGAUGCAGCAACGCCGCGUGAGGGAUGACGGCCUUCGGGUUGUAAACCUCUUUUAGCAGGGAAGAAGCGAAAGUGACGGUACCUGCAGAAAAAGCGCCGGCUAACUACGUGCCAGCAGCCGCGGUAAUACGUAGGGCGCAAGCGUUAUCCGGAAUUAUUGGGCGUAAAGAGCUCGUAGGCGGUUUGUCGCGUCUGCUGUGAAAUCCCGAGGCUCAACCUCGGGCCUGCAGUGGGUACGGGCAGACUAAAGUGCGGUAGGGGAGAUUGGAAUUCCUGGUGUAGCGGUGGAAUGCGCAAAUAUCAGGAGGAACACCGAUGGCGAAGGCAGAUCUCUGGG
RNAcentral lists this ribosomal RNA (653 nucleotides) under Microbacterium sp. DBT28. RNAcentral's name for it is "bacterial SSU rRNA". It matches the Rfam family "Bacterial small subunit ribosomal RNA", at positions 67 to 733 of the family's 1533-position model. The record is from RNAcentral. Lineage: Bacteria; Bacillati; Actinomycetota; Actinomycetes; Micrococcales; Microbacteriaceae.